GCAAGUCGAGGGGCAUCACGGGAGUAGCAAUACAACUGGGUGGCGACCGGCGCACGGGUGAGUAACGCGUAUGCAACCUACCUAUCAGAGGGGAAUAACCCGGCGAAAGUCGGACUAAUACCGCAUAAAACAGGGGCACCGCAUGGUGAUAUUUGUUAAAGAAAUUCGCUGAUAGAUGGGCAUGCGUUCCAUUAGGUAGUUGGUGAGGUAACGGCUCACCAAGCCGACGAUGGAUAGGGGAACUGAGAGGUUGGUCCCCCACACUGGUACUGAGACACGGACCAGACUCCUACGGGAGGCAGCAGUGAGGAAUAUUGGUCAAUGGGCGGGAGCCUGAACCAGCCAAGUCGCGUGAAGGAAGAAGGAUCUAUGGUUACGUAAACUUCUUUUGCGAGGGGAAUAAAGUGCAGGACGUGUCCUGUUUUGUAUGUACCCUGAGAAUAAGGAUCGGCUAACUCCGUGCCAGCCGCCGC
This 473-nucleotide ribosomal RNA is filed under the name uncultured bacterium. RNAcentral's name for it is "bacterial SSU rRNA". It matches the Rfam family "Bacterial small subunit ribosomal RNA", at positions 57 to 518 of the family's 1533-position model. The record is from RNAcentral.